CAUCUAUCGGUAAACGAGAUGGUUGCUAACAUUAAAGCUUCUCUUUAGAGGUUAUUUCAGUAGAAAACUCAAUAUCGAGUUCUUCUUGGCCUUGAUCUUUGGCUCUUGCAUGAUGUAAAUGGUGUUAGAAUGGUUUCAUCCGAUUCGAAAGGUGAGAAGAGCUCCUAGUAGAUGAAGUAGAUGCAGAAGCUUUGGCUUUGGAAUUAACUAUAGGAGAAGAGGGAUACGCAGGAGGCUUACUGGUUUUAUGGAAUUCCUGAUUAAAAUAGGAGACGGUCUUCACGGAAUUUAUUGAGGGCUCUUGCGCAAGAGAUGAUAAGCCGUGGAUUUGUAUGGGGGACGUUAAUGGCUUCUUAGCUACUGAGGAGAAGAUUGGUGGUAAUAUCUAUCCCAGGUUCUUAUCAAAUGGGUUCAGAGAAGCUAUUGAGGAGUGUUGCCUUUGUGACCUGCCUACCUUUGGUUAUAAAUUUACUUAGAGCAUGAGAUGUGAUAACUAGAUUAUUACUAGGGUACGAUUGGACAAAGCUAUGGCUACUUCAUAUUGGUCGAAGAUUUUUCAAAAUGCUUUUGUUAAAACACUAUUCUCGCCUGUUUCAGAUCAUGAUGUGAUUUCUAUCAAUACUGACGGACUACAUACUCAUACCAGUAGUCGAAAAUUUAAAUUUGACAAUGGAUGGCUUCUCAAUGAAGAAAUUGAGGAAAUGGUCAGAUCGGGUUGGAAUCGGGAACAUAGUACUGAUGUGAUUUCCAAGAAGGGCUCAUGUAUUGAUGCAUUACAAGCUUGGGGUAGAAAACAAAACAGGGAUUUCUGGGUAAGGAAACGCAGUAUAAAACGACUUCUGGAAGAUGAGCAGAACUUGGUAGGGCCUACAGAUGAGGUUAGGCGAAAGAAGAAUGGAAUCGUUUGCUUCUUAUCGAGGAUGCUCACAGACAACAGUUAGCAAGACAAUUCUGGUACAAGUACGGGGAUAAAAAUAGCAAAUAUUUUCAUUAAUAAGAUUGAAAAGUUGCAGCUUGGAGAUGGGUCAUUUGUAUCCAACACUUCUGAGAUUCAAGCAGCGUUUAUUAACUAUUUUCAGCAGUUAUUUACACAGUUAGUUUCGUUUAGUGGCCCUGUUCUACAUCUGAUCAUGCCAACGGUGUCUAGAGUGGACAAUGAGAUGCUUGUUGCCAAUAUUGGCUUUGAUGAGGUGAAACAGGUCAUUUUUCAAAUGCAUCCCGACAAGGCCCCUGGUUUGGAUGGUUUGAAUCAGGCAUUUUUUUAGAAAUUCUGGCACAUCAUUGGUCAGGAUAUUGUAUAUGGGUGCCGAUCAUGGCUCACUCGAGGUAUUUUGCUCACUAAUCUUUUUGAUACCACUAUUGUGCUCAUCCCUAAAAAUGGUAACCCAACCACUGUAACUUAUUUCAAGCCUAGAUCUUUAUGUAAUGUGCUCUAUAAGAUUUUAGCUAAAGUUUUAGCUAAUAAGCUAAAGAAAAUUCUUACAAAAGUAAUUUCUGAGAGUCAGUUUGCAUUUGUGCCUGGCAGGCUUAUUACAGAUAAUAUCCCAAUGGCUUUUGAAAUGAUCCAUAAUAUAAAAAGAAAGGUGGGUAGUGGGAUGGGGAACUUGCGCUCUCAAAUUAGACAUUAGUAAAGUCUAUGAUAGGGUUAAUUGGGAUUUUUUGUAUCACAUGAUGAUUAGGCUGGGUUUCUCAGAAAAGUGGGCCAGUUGGAUGAUGAUGUUUGUUUCUAAUGUUAAGUAGUAAGUUUUGGUAGCUGAGAAGGGGUAGGAGAUAUUCGUCCGGGUAGGGGGUUGCGUCAAGGGACUCAGCUCUCUCCUUAUUUGUUUCUUAUUUGUGCUGAGGGACUUUCUUCUUUAAUCUCUGAGGUUGAAAGGGUUGGUGAGGUGCAUGGUGCUAGGGCGGGUAGAGGGUGCCCUAGGAUUUCCCAUCUUCUUUUUGCUGAUGAUUCACUUUUCUUUUUUCAUGCUAAUAUUCUAGAAGCUAAUUGAAUGAGUCAAAUUUUAGUUGACUAUGAGAAAGCAUCAAGGCAAUCUGUCAACUUUCAAAAAUCAGGUAUUAUGUUUAGCUCUAAUGUUAGUGCUGAUGUCAGCAAUAAUAUCUUUAAUGUCUUAGGAGUGCAUAAAUCUAUAGAAAAUGGUGUUUAUCUAGGUCUUCCUUCUUUCGUGGGUAAAAAUAAAAGACAGGUGUUUAAUUUUCUUAAGGAUAGACUUUGGGCUAGGUUGAAUAGUUGGUCCAAUAAGCUCUUGUCAAAAGCGGGUAGGGAAAUUUUGUUUAAAUCAGUUGUCCAGGCUAUUCUUAUUGUAUGAGUGUUUUUAUGUUGCCUAAGAAUAUGUGUAAUGAGUUGCAAAGAUUAAUGAACAGGUUUUGGUGGAGUUUAAAAAAGAUGGUGGUCGAGAUGUCCAU
This is a non-coding RNA of Jatropha curcas, 2403 nucleotides long. The record is from RefSeq and is a predicted model, not a curated record. NCBI's taxonomy places the organism in Eukaryota, Viridiplantae, Streptophyta, Magnoliopsida, Malpighiales, Euphorbiaceae.